GUGAGGUUUCAUAUAGCCGACUCCAACUUGUUUGGGUUUGAGGUGUAGUUGUUGCGUUGGCUCGAAAAUGUCCUGUUCAUUUUGCAUUAUUUGAUAAUAUACUUAAUUGGUUGGUUCUAAAAAGUGAGAAACCAGAAAAUGGGAGGUUCUACGUUAUCCAUUAAUUACGGGUGCGGGUGACUCUCUACCUAUUGCAUAGGUCCGCUUCCGGUACAAAUUGUGUAAAAUUCAGGGCGACUCGAAGAAAUGGUCUGUGGAAUGGAAUUGCUGCUUUGCUUAGUAAGAGUCUUUGUGGACAUGAUCAUUGCGAGUUUUGGCUCAACUUGGAUAUCUUCCCCAGAGACAGCUUUCUCAUCUCAGCUUAUACAGGUUUGGUUUGGACAAAAGAAUGGUUCCUAGAAUCAAAAUUUAUUCAGAACUUUGAGCUGGAUUUAUGAGGAUAAAAUUCCUAUGAAUUCUAUACAAAAAAUGUAGGAUAACACCAUAACUCGAGAGCAUCUUUUAAACAAGGUGUAUUUAUUUCCCCAUUCCGUAUUGUUGCAUUUGUUCCUUCUUUUCCCAAACUAUCUGAUUAGUUGUAGCGUUGUCAAAGGUGCGUUUAAAACACGCUUUUGUGGGCGUAUCAGUGUCGUAUCAAGGUUCUAAGGUAUCCUUUUCCUUGCCAAUGAGUGUAAUCGUGAAAAGAUGACACUAAACAAUUGAUAUUUCACUUUAUCGUAAUUUUUUCAAUUUCUUUGUUCAUAUAUUGGUUUUGGACUGCAUAUACAUAUUUUUAGUUUUUCUCAA
Nicotiana attenuata is the source of this 786-nucleotide long non-coding RNA. RefSeq lists it as uncharacterized. The transcript is spliced from 2 exons. NCBI's taxonomy places the organism in Eukaryota, Viridiplantae, Streptophyta, Magnoliopsida, Solanales, Solanaceae. The record is from RefSeq and is a predicted model, not a curated record.